This is a long non-coding RNA of Mus caroli (Ryukyu mouse), 915 nucleotides long. RefSeq lists it as uncharacterized. NCBI's taxonomy places the organism in Eukaryota, Metazoa, Chordata, Mammalia, Rodentia, Muridae. The record is from RefSeq and is a predicted model, not a curated record.
UGGCAUCAUCAGUGCCCGCGACGGAGGCGACUUCCGACGGAAAAAAGUAGCGGGAGGACGGGAAUUAUUGUCUUUGGCCUCUGGUUCUGCGAGCAGAUUGUUUCCGUACCGUCAAAAAAGAAAAAGAAAACACCAGCUACCUUUCUGAAUCUAUUGUAUCCAAGGCCUUUGCAAUGUUGGGAACAUAAUGAGCAGAUGUGGGGAGUCCUGAAAGACUGGUUACAUACAGAGACCAUCUGGCAUCCAGAGAAGGCUACUGCUUCAUCAAGCAGUCUCCACCCUGCUGUAAUUAAAUAUCUUGAAUUUUCUUUCUUUCCCCCAUGUAAAUGAAGGACUUCGUGGUCUUCUCUAGAAAGUUUCUGUUCUGACUAACUUUGAUUCUCAAUUCAGUCAUCCAUUUCAUCCUGUGUUCUGUUGCCUUUCUGUUAUCAUAUCACACAAAGAGAAGGGUUGGGAUAUAAGUGAGUUAAGUUAUCCAGGACAAAAUCUUCACUGACCACCUCAUCUGUGAUGGAAGCAUCCUCAUUUAAACCUCCAGUCACAAAUGCUGGAAUUUGCUUUAUAAGACAAUAGGAAAAAAGACUGAAGCCAAAAUACAAGGACUCUACUCAAGCCUUCUGGAAAGGACUGUGUGGCCUUUGAUGCACGGAGCAAAGAAUUCUUAGAUUUCCCUGCCAGCCCUGAAACUGGACCUGUGAUGUCAAGUUGGGUUUUGUUGUUGUUUGUUUUAACCUGCCAUGGGAUGGGUUGACAGGAUCAACCAUUUUACACCAUGAUCCCUUGUCCCUGGGAGGACUGUCUGAGACAUUAGAGAAAUGGGAUACAGACUCCCUCGCUGGGCUGGGGGAGCUGGCUCAGGUGCAGAGUACUUGCCACGAUAUGAAGAUCCACUUUUAAAAUAAAUCAAAUAGUCAA